UUUCGCAAUGCCCGAAAGGGUGACGAAGCGACGCCGCGUGGGUGAGGAAGGCCUUCGGGUUGUAAAGCCCUGUCAGGAGUUAAGAAAUGUAAGUGUGCUAAUAUCGCAUUUACUUGACGAAGGCUCCAAAGGAAGUCACGGCUAACUCUGUGCCAGCAGCCGCGGUAAUACAGAGGUGGCAAGCGUUGUUCGGAAUUAUUGGGCGUAAAGAGCACGUAGGUGGGUUUGUAAGUCAGAUGUGAAAGCCUCCUGUUCAACGGGAGAAUUGCAUCUGAAACUACUGAUCUUGAGUAUAGGAGGGGAGAAUGGAACUUCUGGUGGAGCGGUGAAAUGCGUAGAUAUCAGAAGGAACGCCGGCGGCGAAAGCGAUUCUCUGGCCUAUUACUGACACUCAGUGUGCGAAAGCUAGGGGAGCAAACGGGAUUAGAUACCCCGGUAGUCCUAGCCGUAAACGAUGGGCACUAAGUAGAGGGGUUUUA
RNAcentral lists this ribosomal RNA (479 nucleotides) under uncultured anaerobic ammonium-oxidizing bacterium. RNAcentral's name for it is "bacterial SSU rRNA". It matches the Rfam family "Bacterial small subunit ribosomal RNA", at positions 364 to 833 of the family's 1533-position model. The record is from RNAcentral.